AGAUGAUAGAGGUGGUAGAGAUGAUGGAGGAUGUGGAGAUGAUGGAGGUGGUAGAGAUGAUGGAGGUGGUGGAGAUGGUAGAGAUGAUAGACGUGGUAGAGAUGAUGGAGGAGGUGGAGAUGAUGGAGGUGGUGGAGAUGAUGGAGGUGGUUGAGAUGAUGGAGGUGGUGGAGAUGAUGGAGGUGGUAGAGAUGGUGGAGGUGGUAGAGAUGACGGAGGUGGUAGAGAGGAUGGAGGUGGUGGAGAUGAUGGAGGGGGUGGAGAUGAUGGAGGUGGUUGAGAUAAUGGAGGUGGUAGAGAUGGUGGAGGUGGUAGAGAUGAUGGAGGUGGUAGAGAGGAUGGAGGUGGUAGAUGGAGGUGGUAGAGAUGGAGGUUGUAGAGAUGAUGGAUGUGGUGGAGAUGAUGGAGGUGGUGGAGAUGAUGGAGGUGGUAGAGAUGAUGGAGGUGGUAGAGAUGAUGGAGGUGGUAGAGAUGGUGGAGGU
Molecule: long non-coding RNA, 482 nt
Organism: Oncorhynchus tshawytscha (Chinook salmon)
Lineage: Eukaryota; Metazoa; Chordata; Actinopteri; Salmoniformes; Salmonidae
Source: Ensembl